RNAcentral lists this long non-coding RNA (1222 nucleotides) under Chrysemys picta bellii (western painted turtle). Its description in RNAcentral is "lncRNA (ENSCPBG00000025363.1)". Lineage: Eukaryota; Metazoa; Chordata; Testudines; Emydidae. The record is from RNAcentral.
AGCAUUAUUAAACCAUCUAAGCAUGCUGGGUCUCAACCACAAAAUUUAAUUUUCCCUACUGCAGGGACUAAUCAACUACCACAGGCUUUAAGACCUGAGGAGACUGUUUUUAUCUUUUUUGUUUUCUUUCAAAGACUGAAGUGGAGUUAAUUUUACAGUUUUGACUAUCCUCAGGGUUACUAACAGUGACAGAAAUUUAGCUUGAUGAGAAACAGAUAAGAGAUGGAAUUUAUGCUUAUGCUAGGUCAUAAAUAAAGAUAAAAGGAGCUAGGUAAUUAACAGCACCUCUGUAAGUAGGGUUGGAAGACCCCACUUCCUCUUGAAUGAAGCAAAAAAGACCAAAGGAAAGCAAGGCAUGCUGAAUGGCGUCAGCAGUUACCUCCUUCAUUGGCUGAAAGUGGGUUUCUCUGCCCCUGCACCUGCUUCCAGUUUUGGCUUCUUGGCAACGAUGCUUACAGAGACAUCAGCUGGCAGUGGCAAACUGCUAAAAGCUCCCCUGCAAUGCAGCUUUGCAAAUGCCAGCCAUUUAUCCACUGGUGCAUGCCAGCUUAACACAAGGUCUGUCUCCCUCUCCCUCCUCUCCUCUGAGGUUUCACUUCCAAAUGACAGUAAAGGAUCCAAGUAGUGGCCUAGCUCUUUGAGUACCCAUUAAAUGUGGUCACUUCCAUUUACUAUGGUUGUAAUAUUUUGAUCCAAAGAGUGUUGCAGAGAAUUUGAAUGGUUGUACAGUUUAUCCUAUGAAGAAAUAGUUAUUGGACAAGGGUUUGGUUUUUUUUUGUUUUUCUUUCUACCAUAUGGUGGGAUAGUAGUUGAGCUCUGAGUUUUCCUUUUUCUUUUUCAGUUUCUUGAGAGCUGGGUGCCCAAAAUACUAAACAGAAAACCUAGAAUAGUUAGGGACAAAAAGGGUAGCUGCGAACUUAUCUACGUAGCACAAAUGGGCUGUUCUGAUGCAGCCUCAGAUACUUCUGGCCAAAAUUCUGUUCUCUAAUACAUUGGUAUAAGUCCAUAGUAUCUACCUGCCUCAACUUCAUUGGAGUUACCCUGGAUUUAUACAAAUGUCACAGAAAGCAAAAUUGGCCCCAACUUUACCUUUACAAUUUAUUGCAUUUUUUCAGCAGAAAGUAAGAAAGGAUUUGCAAAGAAUAUGUAUAUUUUUCUUGGAAAUUAGAGGGUAUCUUUGCAGUACACAGUCUGAAGGGUUGUGUUCGAUUGUGUUGUGUUU